This 479-nucleotide ribosomal RNA is filed under the name uncultured bacterium. Its description in RNAcentral is "bacterial SSU rRNA". It matches the Rfam family "Bacterial small subunit ribosomal RNA", at positions 28 to 524 of the family's 1533-position model. The record is from RNAcentral.
GACGAACGCUGGCGGCGCGCUUAAUACAUGCAAGUCGAACGAGAAGCCAGAGCUUGCUCUGGUGGAAAGUGGCGAACGGGUGAGUAACACGUGAGAAACCUGCCCAAAGAUUGGGAUAAGCCUUGGAAACGAGGUCUAAUACCAAAUACCUUCCUUUUAACACAUGUUAAAAAGAAGAAAUGCUCCGGCGCUUUGGGAUGGUCUCGCGAUCUAUCAGCUUGUUGGUGAGGUAACGGCUCACCAAGGCAUCGACGGAUAGCUGGUCUGAGAGGAUGUCCAGCCACAUUGGAACUGAGACACGGUCCAAACUCCUACGGGAGGCAGCAGUAGGGAAUCUUGCACAAUGAGGGAAACCUUGAUGCAGCGACGCCGCGUGCGGGACGAAGGCCCUAGGGUUGUAAACCGCUUUCAGUAGGGACGAAAGUGACGGUACCUACAGAAGAAGCCCCGGCCAACUAUGUGCCAGCAGCCGCGGUAAU